This 90-nucleotide transfer RNA is filed under the name Thermoleophilaceae bacterium. Its description in RNAcentral is "tRNA-Ser". It matches the Rfam family "tRNA". Rfam says of the family: Transfer RNA (tRNA) molecules are approximately 80 nucleotides in length. Lineage: Bacteria; Bacillati; Actinomycetota; Thermoleophilia; Thermoleophilales; Thermoleophilaceae. The record is from RNAcentral.
GGAGGGGUGGCAGAGCGGUUGAUUGCGGCGGUCUUGAAAACCGUUGUCCCGGGAUGACCGGGACCGAGGGUUCGAAUCCCUCCCCCUCCG